Molecule: non-coding RNA, 187 nt
Organism: Pleodorina thompsonii
Lineage: Eukaryota; Viridiplantae; Chlorophyta; Chlorophyceae; Chlamydomonadales; Volvocaceae
Source: Rfam
GAUAACCAAAAAUUACCGCUGCGUUUGUUGUUGGGUUAGUAAUCAUACGAAUGUCACCACCACCAGGAGCCCAAGUAUCAUAAACACCACCAAAGUACAUUGCUUUCCAAACAAGUAACCAAGCACCUAAACCUAAAAUGAUUAGGUGAUAACCUAGAAUAUUAGUCAUUUUGUUUUUGUCUUUCCA